RNAcentral lists this unclassified non-coding RNA (1852 nucleotides) under Hevea brasiliensis (rubber tree). The record is from RNAcentral. Lineage: Eukaryota; Viridiplantae; Streptophyta; Magnoliopsida; Malpighiales; Euphorbiaceae.
GAUUGCCAUAUAAAAAGUUUGUCACAUGAUGCGAUAUUUUUCUAAAAUGGUGACAGCUGAGCUAAUCCAUGGAGAUUCCAAUGAACUUGAGACCAAAACUUGUCUUCAUACAUGCUGAAAAAAUAGAACUUUACCUACCACUCUAAUCAAUUUGAGUAUUCUUUUUCCCUUCCCAUACGCAUGCAUAUAGACUGGUCCAUAAUGCAAAUUUCGAUUCAGAGCAAGAACAAUCAGAUUAGUGAUUUUUGAGUACCCAAAAGAAACUCUGUUUUCAAUUCUCAUGGCGGAUUCUAUUCCCUCUAAAAUGAAGGCUUGGGUUUAUAGUGAAUAUGGGAAACCUGAAUAUGUCUUAAGAUUUGACUCAGAAGUUGUGGUCCCUGAAGUGAAAGAAGAUCAGGUCCUGAUCAAGGUUGUGGCUGCUGCACUUAAUCCAGUUGAUGCUAAGAGAAUGGCUGGGUUCAUCAAAGCCGCUGACUCACCUCAACCUACUGUUCCAGGGUAUGAUGUUGCUGGUGUUGUGGUGAAAGUGGGAAACCAGGUCAACAAGUUUAAGAUAGGAGAUGAAGUGUAUGGUAACGUCAACGAGCUCCCUCUGAACCCGAAACAAUUUGGAACAUUAGCUGAAUACACUGCUGUUGAAGAGAAGCUACUGUCUCUUAAGCCCAAGAAACUCAAUUUUGCAGAAGCAUCUGGCAUACCCUUAGCCAUUGAGACUGCUUAUGAAGGCCUUGAAAAAGCAGGGUUCUCAGCUGGUAAAUCUAUUCUUGUCUUGGGAGGUGCUGGUGGAGUUGGAACCCUAACAAUUCAGGUAGCAAAGCAUGUGUUUGGUGCAUCUAGAAUAGCUGCAACUGCUAGCACUGGAAAAUUAGAGUUGUUGAAAAGCUUGGGAGUGGACUUAGCAAUAGAUUACACCAAGGAAAAAUAUGAACACCUCCCAGAGAAGUUUGAUGUAGUGUAUGAUGCUGUUGGUAUGAUUCUAAAUUCCUUGCUCCUUUUCAAAAGGGUUUAUGACAAAAUAAUCUAAAGCUAAGGUUUAGGCCUUGUUUGGUUCAAAUUCUCUACUUGAAGGAAAUUACUUCAUCUGUAAAAAAUUGAGAUAAAAUGUCAACUAAAUAACAAUAUCUCCAACUAAUUUACCUCCAAUCAAACAAAACCUUAGUCUAAGGAACACUUAAAAUUUUGUUAAUUUUAUAUAUGUUUUAAGAAUAGGCCAAUUAUUGCUUAAACUUGAAAGGAUAUGUAUUAAAACAUUCACGAAUAUGAAUUUGGUUUAUAAAUAUAAUAUAUAUAGGAAAUUUAUAAGCGAAAUUUACAUAUUUAUAUAAAUAUUUUAAAUUUAUUGUGAAUGAAUCAAGCAGAUAUUGACAAGUUUUUCUCAUAUUAUGUCUGUUGAAUGAUUAGUCAUUGAAAUUAAUUGAAGGACUAAUGCUAGUGCAAAAAAUGGAAAACAGGGGAGUGUGACAGGGCAGUGAAGGCAGUGAAAGAUGGUGGGAGUGUAGUGGAAAUAGUAGGCUUAACAAAUCCUCCUCCUCCAGCAUUUUUAUUUUUGGAAACUUCAGAUGGGGCAGUGUUGGACAAAAUCAAUCCAUACUUGGAGUCUGGAAAGGUGAAGCCAGUUCUUGAUCCUAAAGGCCCAUUCCCAUUUUCACAAGCUAAGGAAGCAUUUUCCUACCUUGAAACUACAAGAGCUAUUGGAAAGGUGGUUGUGUAUCCCAUCCCAUGAGUAGGACAGAAAAAAAUAAAUUGCUCAUAAGUUACAAAUAUAAUAAUGUCUAUAUUCAGAGACAUCCCAUAAAAUGUAAUAAAUCAAAGAAUAAAUUGAAAAUUUCUAUUAUACUUAAUUGAAUGCAAU